RNAcentral lists this long non-coding RNA (1078 nucleotides) under Mytilus galloprovincialis (Mediterranean mussel). Lineage: Eukaryota; Metazoa; Mollusca; Bivalvia; Mytilida; Mytilidae. The record is from RNAcentral.
GUUCCAAUUGCUCACUUGGUAAAGUUGAAGAUGAGCUUCAUUUCUUAUUAGAAUGCCCUCUUUAUGAUAUUCAAAGGGACGAUUUUUUAAAGACAUUUCUAACAAUUGUUGUAAUUUUAUAAAUUUAAAUAAAUCUUCUAAAUUUUUAUGGCUCUUGACCCAAGAAAAUGUUACUCUUAUGGAAAAACUGGGCUGUUAUAUUUGUGACUGUUUUGGAUUAAGGAGAUCAGGUAUGAACACUGACACUAAGUCAAGUAAAUAAUUUGAGAAUAAAUACAUAUACAUGUAUAAUGUAAUUUUAUUAUUCUUUUAUUCACAAUAUAUACAAUGUAUGUGGUUUUUAGCUUGAUUCUGACCAAUGCGUAUAUUCCAAAUAUAUAUGUAUAUGCCUCUAUUGUUGUUGUUACCAAUUAUGUAAAUCAAUUGUAUCUGAUUUUAUGCCCUUUAUGGGCCCUGUAAUUUGCAAUUUGGGAAAUUACAAACUGUCACAUAAGGGUUAGCAAUUACAUAACUUCUGAUUGAUUACUAGUACUUUGAAUUUACAAGACAUUUAAGCAAUCUGAGGUAUUAUAAAGCCUGUCACUGACUAGAAAUUACUGGAUUUUAACAUUAGUCAGUACAGAAGGUGUCGUCAGUGGUAAUUGAACAGUUAGCACAGAUGCUUCCUUCAGUAUAAGUGGAAUCGUUAGCUGUAUGGUGUAAUAGUCAAACUUUUGAAUCAAUAGCCUGUCAACAUGGAGGUUGAGAGUUCGAAUACAGGUACUAGUAGCAGGUGCGUUCUACUCAAAUCCAAAUUGACGUCAUCAAUAAAAGAUGUCCGCCAUGAAAUAGCGAAAUACUGCUAAAAGUGCCGUUUGUUUUGUUAUAACUUUUGUUUUUCUAUAUUGUGUUGUGAAGAUUGUUGUUUGUCCGCUUGUGUAUUUCCUUUGGUCACGAUGGUGUCUGUCUUAUAUGUUUUUGACUACUCUUUAUUGCAAUUUCUUCUAUAGAUUAUUAUGAAAUACCAUAGUAAAGUUAAAAGUUAAAUGAGAGAGAAAAAGGACAACCCUAUACAUCAUCUUUGACCUGGUUAUCAAAU